CUUUUACGGAGAGUUUGAUCCUGGCUCAGGACGAACGCUGGCGGCGUGCUUAACACAUGCAAGUCGAACGGUGAAGCCCAGCUUGCUGGGUGGAUCAGUGGCGAACGGGUGAGUAACACGUGAGCAACCUGCCCUCCACUUCGGG
This 145-nucleotide ribosomal RNA is filed under the name Isoptericola halotolerans. RNAcentral describes it as "partial 16S ribosomal RNA". It matches the Rfam family "Bacterial small subunit ribosomal RNA", at positions 1 to 142 of the family's 1533-position model. Lineage: Bacteria; Bacillati; Actinomycetota; Actinomycetes; Micrococcales; Promicromonosporaceae. The record is from RNAcentral.